UCAUCUAAAUCACUUGGUUGAACCCCGCCAAGGGCGCUCCUCAGUCACAGAGGGACGCCGAAAAGCUAGAAGGAAACAGGAUGAUGCUUAUUCUUAGCUAGAUUCCACUUCUUGCUGAGCUUUUUUCCACAAAUUCCUCUUGGGAUUCACAAAUAAUUCUUCCAGCAAUUCUCACAGAGACUCUUUCAGGCAUUUAAAAAACAAAAACAAAUCGAAAAUUAUUCUGAACAUUUCUCGAAGAAUUCUUUUAGAAAUUUCUAUAGAAAGGCUUUUGUUCAGAUAUACGCCAAAGGAUUCCUCUAGAUAUUUCUCUAAAUUUUAGUAAAUAAUCAUCCACAGUUUCCUCAAGAAAUUUAUGCAUUUAUUUUUUUUUUCAAAUAAUCUUUCAGUUGGAAAUUGGAUUUUUUUUUUCAAGGAUACCUUCAGAAAUUCCUCCACAGAUUCCUUCAGAAGUUCUUCUAUGGGUUGAUACUUCUUUUUCUUAAUACUUUUUUUUCACAACUUUUCCUGUGUUUUUUCUGGAAAAUCUUCAACGAAAUUCUUUAGAAAUUUUCCGGAGUGUUCUUCGAGAAUUCUUAUAGAGAUUCCAACAAAAAAUAUUCAUCGUCGGGAAAAUACUCCGCAUUUGGUCGAGAGCACAGCGAACAGUAACGGUCAAAAUGUAGACCGAAGGAUAUUUCCAGAACGAUUCAGCUGUGAUUGAUCUUCCUUCACAAAUUCAGUAGUAUCUAAAUCCAGGAACACAGUCACACACACACACUAGUUUAUUUUCUUCUGCCUAAUUUAUUACACUUAUAAUUAGUUCAUUAACUUAUUACUAAAAUUCUAAUGAAUUCACACUGUUCAAAUAUUUCAAAUAACUGUUGAUAUAAAUGUUCUACGGGGUAUGACUGGGUUUGCGUAAAACUAGGUAUUUUUCGGCAUUCAGUCACAAAAAAGGUUUGAUUAUUUUAAAUCAUUGCCAACGUUUCGGUCCUGUGGUUGGAAUCUUCAUCAGGGCUCGAUGUGAACCAACUUGUUUCACUAUUCGUGUUGAUGACACGGCUCAAUGUCGUUAUCUGUUCUGUACCGCACUUGUUUCAUUAGACCCUAGCACCUCGAUUGAAAUGUUGGGUGGGUAUACAGUUCGAGUCAAAACACUUGGCCCUUUGGGAACACUUCUGUUCGUGCUGGCCAGGAUGGAAUUCCAAGUGUUGUGACUAGAACUGUAUAUUGUCGGGCCGCCACCAAACCGGACUUCGCACAAUCAAGUCGCGACGCGACCCAACUCGCGACGUUUUUGAAUCAUGUCAAAAGUAGUGCGCAUCCUUCCCGUUGUUGUCAGCAACACAGCGCACUAGAUGCGAAACAGCUGCGACACUUGUGGACCAAGAAAAUGGCAAUUUUUGAUUGAAUGUCUGUCUUGAUUCCAACCGGAUAGACAAUACCCACUCACCAUUUCAAUCGGGGUGCUAAGGUCCAAUCAAACAAUAGAGUUAAUAAAAUAUAGAGGGAGAAUGUCGCUGGCGUCGCUGCCACAACAUCUCUUGCUGGCAAAGAUAGGGAGGGAUAUAAGUGUCAAAGUAUGCUGUUUGACAGAUAGAUACCCGGCAUAUUUGCAAACGAGAACAAAGGGAACACCAGCGACAUUCGUCCUCUAUAGUUUCUUAACUCUAUUAAUGAAACAAUAAGGGCCGAUUUCUUCACCUCGGCUUAACUGGUAAGCCAGGCUUACCCAUAUAGUUAAACCUGGUUUAACGCUUAAGCCAGGGUGAAGAAAUCGCCCCUAAGUGCUUUGCAGAACAGAUAACGACAUUCCGCCAUGUGAUCAACACGAAUCUAAUGCCGUUUUUCUUUAUUAUCCAGUUCCAACCUGGGUUGGAACUGAAUCAGAUCACAGUUUCAACCCCAACCCGACUUCGGUUUCGCUUGUACUAAAGUUUGUUUGACGUUGUUUGUUUACACAUUUUCCGCCAAUCCAGUUCCAACCCAGGUUAAAAAAGAAAAACGGCAUAAAACAAGUUCAUUCACAUCGAACCCUGAUGAAGAUCCCAACCACAGGAUCGAAACGUUGAAAAUAAUCUAAAAUAAUCAAUGCUUUUCUGUAGAUAUAAGGAUGGCUAAGGGGUCCCCAGUUAGCCUAGUGGUUAAGGCUGUGGAUCGCCAAUCCGGAAACGGCGGGUUCGAUUCCCGUUCCGGUCGGGAAAAUUUUCUCGACUCCCUGGGCAUAGCGUAUCAUUGUACUUGCCUCACAAUAUACAAAUUCAUGCAAUGGCAGGCAAAGAAAGCCCUUUAAUUAAUAACUGUGGAAGUGCUCAAAGAAAACUAAGUUGAAGCGAGGCAGGCCAAGUCCCAGUGGGGACGUAGAGGCAUAAAGAAGAAGGAUGGCGCUAAGAUCAACUUCAAGUAAUGGCGCCAAGAUGGUCUUGCAGGGCAGAAAAGAGAUCGAUGCUCGUUACUUGAUCUCCUUUUAUAUCAUGGUGCCCCGGAAGGCGGUUGUACGCCAUUAUAACCUUUUUGUUGCAUUUUGAGCUUUUAUCGUUCUCCACGAACGAGAGUAACGGAUAGAAGUAACGUCUAAUGUACUUGAACGGCUGACAGACAGGUGGCGCAUAAUUUCCCUUUUCGUGAUGUGCAGGGCAUACACGAACAGGAUUGCUUAGAAACCCUUCAAUAGAUUUCCUAAGUUAUUCCGCCAUGGAUUCCUAUAGAAAACCUACAGAUUCCUUAAGAAAUCCCUCCAGGGAUUCCUUCAGAAAUUCCUAGGAGAAUUCCUUAAGGAAUUCUUCGAGGGAUUUUUUUAGAAAAUCUUCUAAACACUUCUUUAAAAAUUCAACUAAAGUGUCCUUCAAAAAGUCUUCUAUAGAUUUCUUUAGAAAGAAUAGAUGUCUCACUAUGCUUAGAAGAUCUUUCAUUGACUUCUUCCAAAAUUGUGCCAUGUUAUCUAAAAAUUGCUCUAUAAAAUUCUGCUAGAAUUUCUUUACAGGGAUGCUGGAAUUUUUUACAGGAAUUGCUUCAUAAAACCUUCUGAUGACUUUUUUCACAAAAUCCUUCAGAGAAUAAUUAAGAAGCUUUUUCAGGGAUUCCUUCGAAAAUUCUUCCAAGUAUUAAUUUAAAAAAAUCUUAAACGAAUUCUUACAGGCAUUUUUUCACGUACUACUCCAGAAAUUCCUGCAAGAAUUACUCCAUGAAUUCCAUUGGAAAUUGUUGCUGAAAUUUCUCCUGGAUUUUCAUCAGAUAUUCCUCCGGAUAUUUUUGCAUAAUUGCAUUCAGUGAUUCCAUUCCAGCAAAAAACUCAUAUAGAGAUUUCUUUAGGAUUUCAUUCUGGUAUGAAGAUAUGGAGUCUAUGGUUCGAGACGAAGACGAAUUUCUUACAUAUCUUCUGGAAAAUAUUUUGAUUAAACUUCAGAAAAAAACCUUUGGUAGAGUUAUUGGAAAAUUCUGAUAAAACCCAUUGCAUUAAUCACUGAAAAUUGAUAAAAUAGAUCGUUUGAGGAUACCUGAAAAUCUUUUUUUUUCCAAUUCGUUUAUUUAAGGCUCACUCGCCGUACUCAGCUUUACAGAGCCGACAAUCGCUUCCUUUUAAUAUGAACUAGCAGAUCCAACAUGGCUAGCCACGCUAAAAAAUGUUUUUUUUUUCGAUUCUUUUGACAAUUAUCUAGCUUCUUUAACGACUGUUGUAGAGUUCUUAUUCAUAGAAUGAAAGAAACUUCUAGAACAUUAAACAAGAUUGAUACAGCAAUGCAUUACUUUAUGAAUCAUUUGCUACUAAUACAAUGAUGCAACGAAUACACUAAUGCAACGAUAAAAAAAAAUGCACCAUUGCAACGACGUAACGAUUCAGCAAUGCAGCGAUGCACCAAUGCUACGAUACAGCAAAACACCAAUGCAACAAUUCAACGAUGAACCAGCGCAACUAUGCAAGUGGUAAAAUAUUUGGCGUCUGGGCAAAGAGUGUACGAGCACCUUUAUCCAAUAAAACGAGAUUUUGUUAUUUAUUUAAGGACUUAAUUGUGACAGUACAAUGAUAAUGAUACAUCUCUGGUGGUUAAUUCAGAGAUGAGUGUAGCAACGAUUGCGUUGUUGACAAGCACACAGGAUCGAGGCAUGACACGCGAGUUUGCCAUCUCAUUUAUAAGUACUGAAAGUAGCAAACACCGGGUUCAAAAGGUUUCCUUGAUAGAAAUUCUUUAUUAUAAUUAUAAUUAGUAGGAACAUGCAAAAAAUAUAGAAAUUUAUAACAAAUGAUAUGAUAAAGGUAUUAAUUAUCGAUUUAUGAACUAAUUCCACCCACAGAUACCCAACGGAUGACUACAAAGUUUAUACCGAACUUCUACGGAAGGAGUACGCCGCGAUGGAAGCGAGUUCCUAUAACAAAAUGAGGUUGAAGAUACUGCAAACGUUCAACCGAAUCCCGUUCAUCUACGCUACCACGGAAUUCGGUGAAAAAUUCGAGAAAACUGCCAGGGACAACAUUGGAACCGAAAUCAAGGAAUUGGAGAAUCAGUAAAACUAUUUAAACAUAUAGACACUAGGAAGUUACUCACGGAAUGUAAUAUUAUGCAUAGAUGAGCUCAUAAACAAAAUAAAUAUAAAUAAAUAAUCAAAGUAAGCCAACGCGUAAGCGACCUUCGCAUUAUUUUGAUUGAUCAAGUCAACGAGGACUUGAUUUCGAUCGAGCGCUGGGCUUCCGAAAACAAUCUAUUCCCGAAUCCGAAGAAAACCCAGGCCAUUGUGUUCAGCAGGACAGGGCGUGUCACUCCUGCUGUCGAUGUCAGUUUCUGUGGACAAACCAUCGAGAUAAGUGACAAAGUUGUCAAUCUUGGGCUGGUUAUGGACAACAAUCUACGAUGGACGGAGCAGGUCACCGAAACUACCAUGAAAGCGUACAGCAUCCUACGUACUUUCCGUCGUUUUACGCCAGUAUUGUCACCCCAGGUGCGACUCAAGCUGGUGCAAGCAGUGGUAAUGCCGGUUUUCACCUACGGCGACAUUGUCUACUAUCCUGGUCUAUCUGGUGCGCUGAAGGAGAGACUACAUCGUUGUUUCAAAUCGUCUAUUAGGUUCGUUUUCAAGAUGAGACGGUUUGACACUACGGCUCACGUGCGCAGGGCAAUACUUGGGCACGACCUGCCCGACAACUACAGACACCGGGUAUACUGCUUCUUCCGCCAA
Molecule: long non-coding RNA, 5154 nt
Organism: Aedes albopictus (Asian tiger mosquito)
Lineage: Eukaryota; Metazoa; Arthropoda; Insecta; Diptera; Culicidae
Exons: 2
Source: RefSeq, a predicted model, not a curated record